CUACGGGGGGCACCAGUGGGGAAUAUUGCACAAUGGAGGAAACUCUGAUGCAGCAACGCCGCGUGGAGGAUGACACUUUUCGGAGCGUAAACUCCUUUUAUAUAGGAAGAAGAUGACGGUACUAUAUGAAUAAGCGCCGGCUAACUCCGUGCCAGCAGCCGCGGUAAUACGGAGGGCGCAAGCGUUACUCGGAAUCACUGGGCGUAAAGAGCGUGUAGGCGGAUUAAAAAGUCAGAAGUGAAAUCCUAUAGCUUAACUAUAGAACUGCUUCUGAAACUCUUAAUCUAGAAUGUGGGAGAGGUAGAUGGAAUUUCUGGUGUAGGGGUAAAAUCCGUAGAGAUCAGAAGGAAUACCGAUUGCGAAGGCGACCUACUAGAACAUUAUUGACGCUGAGACGCGAAAGCGUGGGGAGCAAACAGGAUUAGAUACCCCCGUAGUC
RNAcentral lists this ribosomal RNA (439 nucleotides) under uncultured bacterium. Its description in RNAcentral is "partial 16S ribosomal RNA". It matches the Rfam family "Bacterial small subunit ribosomal RNA", at positions 339 to 795 of the family's 1533-position model. The record is from RNAcentral.